CAUGUUGUGUUUUUAAUACAAUAAAAAAAAUUAGAGGAUUCCUAAUUGUUUUCAUGGUAUAAAGAUCUUAAAGGAAUGUUAAAAAGAUUUCAAGGUAAAAAAAAAAAAAUUGAAGUCCAGUCCUUUAAUGACUUUUAGGUUUUCAGCACAUGCCUAGUUCUUGGACUUUAUGAAUGGAAAAAAGUGGCAUGUAUCCACUGGCUUAAUCUAAGGUGUCAACAAUCCUUCUCUGAAGCUAUUGAAAUAGGAGGAGUGCCCACAAUUACUAAACAUCUUCCGGUGAUAAAAAAGAAAUUGCAUAAUCUUCUGGCUACAUGCAUCAGAAUGAUUCAGCGUUUCACAAAAAAUUUACUUCCAUUGACUUUGCAGUUAGGUAAAUUUUCAGGAAUACUUUCUCAUACUUAGCUGAGUCAGUUGAAAGGUAACAACUGUUCGCUCCCAUAGAAGUCACAGCUUCUGAAAGCUGACUAAUCGUAGACUUGGAAGGGACUUUAGAGAUCAUCCAAUUCAAACACCUCGUUCUACAGAUGAAGCCCAGAGAAGAAGUGAAUUCCCCAGAGUAUGGUGACAAAAGCUGACAUCUGAAGAUGUUCUAAGUGAGCUGCCUGCAGUGCGUGUCAACAUUGGAACACCUGGGGCAGAGCUGGCUCCCAGAACAACAGGGGAGACUUGCCAACAAGCUUGCUUAGGAUUUCUUUGCAGUGGAAAUUUGGGGACUGGGGCCUGUUUGGAAAUACCAGAGAUAACUUGAAAAAAAAAAAGUCAAUGUUUCCUAUUAGAACAAGACAGAAAACCACACAGAUCAUUUUCAAGAAGCCAAGCUUUUGACUAGAUGUGACAGGAAACGGUUUAGAAGAGGUUAUAGGUCACUGCCCCCUUUUUGUCGAGUGUACUUUGGCUUUGUUUUCUUGGUCAUGAUUGGAAAGGGAUCUUCCAUGAAGAUGUUCAUUGAUAAUAACUUGGGGUCCAGGAUCAACUCUUGAGGGAAGUGAAAAAGCUACCAAAUCUGUGUAGAGUAAGAACUCCUUCCCUCUCUUUAUCGUUUCAAUCACUAAGUAUGUUGAUUCAUUAAAGUCCAAACUUUUGCUGGCACCAUCUUGGCGGCUCAUGCCCUGCCUCGGCCUCUCAUGGUCACCUCCACAAAAGCUAUGUAUGAGUCAGCUGAAAUGAGAAAGAGUAAAGAGGUGUGUUUCUGGCUCCUCCACUCAAGACUCUGAGCAAUGAACAACUGCAAACAAAGUCUUUCAACCCGAAACUCUCAAGGGCAGGGUGUGGGAAGGUGUGCAGCACAGUGCGUGUUCAGCAGGUCGGACAUGUGUACUUUCCUUUCAUUUAAUAAUCAGAAAAGAAUGAACUCUCCCCACUGAACUGCAAUCCAGCUUCUGAUGCUCCUUGUGGAAAAUGCCACUAAGACAACACCAAGCUUCAAAACCCUUGUGUUUUCUGGCUAAGGAUAAAGAGUUCCCUCUUCCCCUACAGUGAUUUUUUUUCCCUUAGUAGCUCACGUUCUAGAAUGUUUAUUAAUUAAAUUUGCCUUCUCAGGUUGAUUUUGUAGAAAAAAUUUUUUCACACAUUGAAGCCAAGCAUCUGCACACACAUUGGUUGACAGUCCGUUGACAGCCAAAGACACAGACAGAAAAGCCCUUUGCCUCCAUGCUGCGUAGUGCACAGCCCUACCUUUCAUGCAAUUCUUCCAUAACUGGAAGAAGUUAUCUGCCGGCUAACAGAGAAGACAUCACUCCUCUCAUACGUCUGUGGAAUGUUGCUAGGUAAGAAAUAAGGAUUGUUCAUCCCAAGCCUGGGGAGUCUAGUCGUCUGCCUCUCAUGAAGGACCAGCAAAUAUUUUUUAGAAACUCUGGAUUGUUUUCCUUGAUGUGAGGCUAAAAAAUCUGGAAAAACAUUAUGAAAUGUGAUUUCUGUCUAGUUGGCAGUGAGGGAUGGUGUGGUAUUAGAUUAAAACGCACGCACACAAACACAACUCUGUGGAGACAAGUCGUAACCUCUAUCUUGGAACCCCUGGUUAAAUCCCAGGAGACAAAGGAAGAGAGGCCGCACAGAGUGGGGUUUCAGCACGUGCACCCGAGGCAGGCUGCCUGGGUUCAGAUCCCAGCUCCUUCACUUACCGAGCGUGAGACGUUGGGCAGAUUAGCGAUCUCUUUGUGCUUCAGUUACUCCAUCUGUAAAAUGGGGGCAAUAGUAAUCCCCACCUCAUAAGGUUGCUAGGAGGAUUAAAUUAAUCUUUGUAAAGUGCUUAGAAGUGUGCCUGGCACAUUGUAAGCUCUGUAUAGAUGUUUGUUAAAAAAUAAACAUGUAUGUUACAACUGUCUUAGUUUGCUGGGGCUGCUCUAACAAUACCACAGACUAGGUGGCUUCAAAACAGAAAUGUAUCAUCUCAGAGUUGUGGAGGCUGCACGUCUGAGAUGCACGUGUCCUCAGGAUUGGUUCCUUCUGAGCGCCAUGAGAGAAUGAUCUGUUCCAGGCUCUGUCCUUGGCUUACAAAUGAUCAUCUUCUCCCUGUGUUUUCACACCAUCUUCUUUCUGUACGUAUCUGUGUCCAAAUUUCCCCUUCUGAUAAGGACGCCAGUAGCAUUGGAUUAGGGACCACCCUGAUGACUUCAUUUUAACUUAAUCACUUCUGUAAAGAUUCUAUCAUCAAAUAUAGUCACAUUCUAAGGUACUGGGGGGUCAGGACUUCAACAUAUGAAUUUUUAGGGUCACGCAGUUCAGCCCCUAAGAACAAUUUUAACAUGGCCUCCUCUGUCUCCAGAGGGACUGCAUGGAGUUGAAGUAGCCACAUGUAACAGCAGCUACCAAACCACACGGAAGGUGGCUCUUUUUGCUGCAUGUUUCUGCUUUAAGCCAAAUAUAUUCAUUUAUGAAACUCUUAUUUAAAACUAUACUUAAAGCCGGUGCUUCUCCUGGGAGCUUGAUGCGUUCAAUAAGCCCAGACUAUUUCUUCAGAGCAGCACAUUUCUUAAGUGUCAAGUUUGGCUUAUUUAAUUCGUCCAGAGUUCACUUUUUAGUUUAUUGAAUUCUCCCUAGUUCCAGUGUCCGUUCACUAAAAUCUAUCAAUGUUUAUUAGAUUUCGAUGGUGUUGCUUAUAAUCCUUCAUCUUUCCAGAGUAGGAGUCUUAAUCUUUAAGAUUGCUUGCAUACACUCAACAAGUUUUUUGAAUAAUUUAACACUUUUGUUUCUAGUUCUUCAUGACACGUCUUCAUGGGUGAAAUGCAAAACACUCUGUACCGUGCCGUACUUGCAAAGGCUUCAGCUUAUGUAUGACUGACAUGUUAGUGUCACCCAGACAAAAAAGAUGUAAUGUUCCGAAUGGGGAAGGAAAACCAGAGAAACAUCACAGGAUUAAGCAAUUUUAGAAGUAGUAAGAAACAUAAGAUCCAAGUAUAAGUUAGGAUGAAUUGAAAGGAAAUUUUAAAAGUCAGUAAACCUGGGACACAGCUGAUUAGGUUUUGAGCUUCUUAAGAGCAGUACCAUUGUCUUAGACUGCUCUUUUUAAAAUCCUCUGUGAUAACUAACAUAACUCUGGACAUCCAUUAGUGCUCAAUGAAUACUGGUGCAUUAAAAAUAUUUGAUGUCUCCAUCAAAGGCAGUACAAGUUGAAAAUAUAAAUAGACUCACAAAAUAAGCUCAGAAGUAGAGGCUUGUCUCUUAAAGUAUCGUUUACUCAAAGGGAAAAAAAUCCAAAAUAGUCUCAUAUAAGUGAGGAACAAUCUACUUGAUUUGAGAUGAUAGUUUAACCUUCCUGAUUUAGACAUAAGAAGAGAGAACAAGAAACCACAGAGCUUAGAGGGACAUUCACCUAGACAAAAGCCCUCAUUUCACAGAUGUACAAACGGAGGCUCAGAAGUAUUAACUUGUCCCAGAUCACACAAUUAACUGGAUACCAAGCCGUUAACCUGAUUUCCAUGUUCUAUGCUUCCUCUCUUUCUCCUGAUUUAUUUAGUAAAUAAAUAAUUUAAAAUAUACUUCAGUUUCCUGAUGUAUACAAUGAAGCAAGAGGGAAAAGAACUGCUAGAAGUGGAAAGCAUGCACGGUGACUAAGAGGUAGAAGCGCCCCGGUGUUGAUCGACGGGAACUGUGAAACGCCUUUCAACAGAGUCAGCCAUAUCAGGCUAGAACAGUGCGUGGCAGAGAGGCUGUGCUUAACCAGGAUGUGACAGUGAGUGUGUACUAUCCCGCCAUUAACCAAGAACGAAGCUGGAUGAAUUCUACUGCUUUCUUAGGCGUACUAUUCUUAGCCUAGAAUUUAACAAAACCAUGAAGACAAGGCUCCGUGACAGUACAAACAAUUUGCAAAACAGUAAAUCUGUUCCUAGGUAAGUAAGAGUUAACUGCAUGCUGGAGUUCAAGGGAGACUUGCCAAGUCAAUAAAUUACUUGCUGUUUACUGAAUACCAACUGUUUCCCCCACAUACUGAAUAUGUUUACUAUUUCCAUUGCUCACAUUUCUUACUGAGAGUAAUUGGAAUUAAUUUUUUUUUUUUCGUGAGAAGGAAGAGAUUCUUUUGGUAAGAUAUCAUCUUAAAUGAUGGCCCUUAAAUACUUGAAAAGCCGAUUCUUCUGUCUUGACUGGGACUUGGAUUCUGUAAUUCACAUGCUAGAGAGCAACACUGAAAAUCUGGCCUUGUAUUUUGAGUUCUAACAAAAUUCUUCAGUUUACCACUUCUGACCUUUUGUUAUAGUGGUGGUUCUUAAGUGUUUUUUUUGUUUUUUUUUUU
This is a non-coding RNA of Equus caballus (horse), 4732 nucleotides long. Lineage: Eukaryota; Metazoa; Chordata; Mammalia; Perissodactyla; Equidae. The record is from RefSeq and is a predicted model, not a curated record.